GACCUGCCCACUGAGGAAUUAAAUGGCCGCGGUAUUUUGACCGUGCAAAGGUAGCAUAAUAAUUAGUUUUUUAAUUGAAAGCUGGAAUGAAAGGUUGGAUGAGAAAAUAACUGUCUCUAUUUAGAUUAAUUAGAAUUUUAUUUUUAAGUAAAAAAGCUUAAAUAAAAAUAGAAGACGAGAAGACCCUAUAGAGUUUUAAUUUAAUUGGGGUGAUUGAAAAAUUUAAUAAACUUUUUUUGUAUUUAAACAUUAAUUUAUGAAUAGUUGAUCCUUUUUUUAAGAUUAAAAGUAAAAAUUACCUUAGGGAUAACAGCGUAAUUUUUUUAGAGAGUUCAAAUCGAAAAAAAAGAUUGCGACCUCGAUGUUGGAUUAAAAUUAAGUCUUGGUGUAGAAGCUAA
This 398-nucleotide ribosomal RNA is filed under the name Rhyncogonus tenebrosus. Its description in RNAcentral is "partial 16S ribosomal RNA". It matches the Rfam family "Bacterial large subunit ribosomal RNA", at positions 1854 to 2565 of the family's 2925-position model. The record is from RNAcentral. Lineage: Eukaryota; Metazoa; Arthropoda; Insecta; Coleoptera; Curculionidae.